RNAcentral lists this ribosomal RNA (459 nucleotides) under uncultured bacterium. Its description in RNAcentral is "bacterial SSU rRNA". It matches the Rfam family "Bacterial small subunit ribosomal RNA", at positions 977 to 1433 of the family's 1533-position model. The record is from RNAcentral.
GGGCUUGACAUCCCACGAACCUGCCCGAAAGGGUAGGGUGCCCGCAAGGGAGCGUGGAGACAGGUGGUGCAUGGCUGUCGUCAGCUCGUGUCGUGAGAUGUUGGGUUAAGUCCCGCAACGAGCGCAACCCUCACCCCUAGUUGCCACCGGGUAAUGCCGAGCACUCGAGGGGAACUGCCAGCGCCAAGCUGGAGGAAGGCGGGGAUGACGUCAAGUCAUCAUGCCCCUUACGCCCUGGGCUACACACGUGCUACAAUGGCCAGUACAAAGGGAUGCGAGACCGUAAGGUGGAGCUAAUCCCAAAAAGCUGGUCUAAGUUCAGAUUGCAGUCUGCAACUCGACUGCAUGAAGGAGGAAUCGCUAGUAAUCGCGCAUCAGCACGGCGCGGUGAAUACGUUCCCGGGCCUUGUACACACCGCCCGUCACACCACGAAAGCUGGCUGUACUCGAAGUCGCUGA